GAUGAACGCUGGCGGCGUGCCUAAUACAUGCAAGUCGAACGAAACUUCUUUAUCACCGAGUGCUUGCACUCACCGAUAAAGAGUUGAGUGGCGAACGGGUGAGUAACACGUGGGCAACCUGCCCAAAAGAGGGGGAUAACACUUGGAAACAGGUGCUAAUACCGCAUAACCAUAGUUACCGCAUGGUAACUAUGUAAAAGGUGGCUAUACUACCGCUUUUGGAUGGGCCCGCGGCGCAUUAGCUAGUUGGUAGGGUAAAGGCUUACCAAGGCAAUGAUGCGUAGCCGAAUUGAGAGGUUGAUCGGCCACAUUGGGACUGAGACACGGCCCAAACUCCUACGGGAUGCAGCAGUAGGGAAUCUUCCACAAUGGGCGAAAGCCUGAUGGAGCAACGCCGCGUGGGUGAAGAAGGUCUUCGGAUCGUAAAACCCUGUUGUUAGAGAAGAAAGUGCGUGAGAGUAACUGUUCACGUUUCGACGGUAUCUAACCAGAAAGCCACUGCUAACUACGUG
Molecule: ribosomal RNA, 512 nt
Filed under: uncultured bacterium
Lineage: Bacteria
Description: partial 16S ribosomal RNA
Rfam family: Bacterial small subunit ribosomal RNA
Source: RNAcentral